Molecule: ribosomal RNA, 784 nt
Filed under: uncultured bacterium
Lineage: Bacteria
Description: SSU rRNA
Rfam family: Bacterial small subunit ribosomal RNA
Source: RNAcentral
CACAGUGUAGCAAUACAUGGGUGGCGACCGGCAAACGGGUGCGGAACACGUACGCAACCUUCCUUCAGGCGGGGAAUAGCCCAGAGAAAUUUGGAUUAAUACCCCAUAAUAUUUUGAGAUGGCAUCAUCUUAUUAUUAAAGCUACGGCACCUGGAGAUGGGCGUGCGGCUGAUUAGGUAGUUGGCGGGGUAAUGGCCCACCAAGCCUACGAUCAGUAGCUGAUGUGAGAGCAUGAUCAGCCACACGGGCACUGAGACACGGGCCCGACUCCUACGGGAGGCAGCAGUAAGGAAUAUUGGUCAAUGGACGCAAGUCUGAACCAGCCAUGCCGCGUGGAGGAUGAAGGUCCUCUGGAUUGUAAACUUCUUUUAUCUGGGACGAAAAAAGGGUUUUCUAACUCGUCUGACGGUACCAGAUGAAUAAGCACCGGCUAACUCCGUGCCAGCGGCCGCGGUAAUACGGAGGGUGCAAGCGUUAUCCGGAUUCACUGGGUUUAAAGGGUGCGUAGGCGGGCAUUUAAGUCAGUGGUGAAAUACCUGAGCUUAACUUGGGAACUGCCAUUGAUACUAUUUGUCUUGAAUGUCGUGGAGGUUAGCGGAAUAUGUCAUGUAGCGGUGAAAUGCUUAGAUAUGACAUAGAACACCUAUUGCGAAGGCAGCUAACUACGCGAAUAUUGACGCUGAGGCACGAAAGCGUGGGGAUCAAACAGGAUUAGAUACCCUGGUAGUCCACGCCCUAAACGAUGAUUACUCGACAUUAGCGAUACACUGUUAGUGUCUGAGCG